GCGCUGCACGGACAGCCCUCAGUAGGAAACAGUUGGCCGAGAAAACACUCAUUUCCUGUUCGCCGCCUCUUCGUUCUACGUUGCAACCCAACCUAGCUUUCAUCUCUGGGUUGUUCUGUACUUGGGAAAGUCAAAAUGAGUGCGUCGAAUUCAUGAGGAUCGAGAUCUCUGUUUAGAUACAAACAGCUCCAAUUAUCAUCUAAGCCUGACUCUCAACUAAAUCACAUCAUUUGAGCUUCA
Myodes glareolus (Bank vole) is the source of this 240-nucleotide non-coding RNA. Lineage: Eukaryota; Metazoa; Chordata; Mammalia; Rodentia; Cricetidae. The record is from RefSeq and is a predicted model, not a curated record.